CAUAACCUCGGGAAACUGAGGAUAAACCGCGAUAGGCCAAGGUUUCUGGAAUGGACAAUGGCUGAAAUCUACAUGGCCCUUGGAUUGGACUGCGGCCGAUCAGGCUGUUGGUGAGGUAAUGGCCCACCAAACCUAUAACCGGUACGGGCUUUGAGAGAAGGAGCCCGGAGAUGGGCACUGAGACAAGGGCCCAGGCCCUAAGGGGCGCAGCAGGCGCGAAAACUCUGCAAUAGGCGAAAGCUUGACAGGGUUACUCUGAGUGAUGCCCGCUAAGGGCAUCUUUUGGCACCUCUAAAAAUGGUGCAGAAUAAGGGGUGGGCAAGUCUGGUGUCAGCCGCCGCGGUAAUACCAGCACCCCGAGUGGUCGGGACGAUUAUUGGGCCUAAAGCAUCCGUAGCUUGUCCUGCAAGUCCUCCGUUAAAUCCACCUGCUUAACAGAUGGGCUGCGGAGGAUACUACAGGGCUAGGAGGCGGGAGAGGCAAGCGGUACUCAGUGGGUAGGGGUAAAAUCCUCUGAUCCACUGAAGACCACCAGUGGCGAAGGCGGCUUGCCAGAACGCGCUCGACGGUGAGGGAUGAAAGCUGGGGGAGCAAACCGGAUUAGAUACCCGGGUAGUCCCAGCUGUAAACGAUGCAGACUCGGUGAUGGGUUGGCUUCGCGCCAACCCAGUGCCGCAGGGAAGCCGCUAAGUCUGCCGCCUGGGGAGUACGGUCGCAAGACUGAAACUUAAAGGAAUUGGUGGGGGAGCACCACAAGGGGUGAAGCCUGCGGUUCAAUUGGAGUCAACGCCGGGAAUCUUACCGGGGGCGACAGCAGUGUGAAGGUCAAGCUGAAGACUUUACCAGACAAGCUGAGAGGAGGUGCAU
This 867-nucleotide ribosomal RNA is filed under the name uncultured archaeon. RNAcentral describes it as "bacterial SSU rRNA". It matches the Rfam family "Archaeal small subunit ribosomal RNA", at positions 125 to 995 of the family's 1478-position model. The record is from RNAcentral.